This 374-nucleotide ribosomal RNA is filed under the name uncultured bacterium. RNAcentral describes it as "bacterial SSU rRNA". It matches the Rfam family "Bacterial small subunit ribosomal RNA", at positions 523 to 897 of the family's 1533-position model. The record is from RNAcentral.
AUACAUAGGGGGCAAGCGUUAUCCGGAAUUACUGGGUGUAAAGGGUGCGUAGGCGGUUAGGAAAGUCAGAUGUGAAAACCCAAGGCUCAACUUUGGGAAUGCAUUUGAAACUUCUUGACUAGAGUACAGGGGAGGUAAGUGGAAUUUCUAGUGUAGCGGUAAAAUGCGUAGGUAUUAGGAGGAACACCAGUGGCGAAGGCGACUUACUGGACUGAAACUGACGCUGAGGCACGAAAGCAUGGGGAGCGAACAGGAUUAGAUACCCUGGUAGUCCAUGCCGUAAACGAUGAAUGCUAGGUGUUGGAGUCUUAAGACUUCAGUGCCGCAGCUAACGCAAUAAGCAUUCCACCUGGGAAGUACGAUCGCAAGAUUGA